Molecule: ribosomal RNA, 253 nt
Filed under: uncultured bacterium
Lineage: Bacteria
Description: partial 16S ribosomal RNA
Rfam family: Bacterial small subunit ribosomal RNA
Source: RNAcentral
GACGAACCGAGCGAACGUUGUUCGGAAUCAUUGGGCUUAAAGGGUGCGUAGGCGGGCUAUCAAGUCUGGGGUGAAAUGCCGCGGCUCAACCGUGGAACUGCCUCAGAUACUGACGGCCUCGAGGGGGGUAGGGGCAUGCGGAACUGUAGGUGGAGCGGUGAAAUGCGUUGAUAUCUACAGGAACUCCGGUGGCGAAAGCGGCGUGCUGGACCCCUUCUGACGCUGAGGCACGAAAGCCAGGGGAGCGAACGGG